AAAAUCGUGGUGCCUCGCACCUCGAGUUGUAAUCUGGAGAAGUGUCCUCUGCAGCGGACCAGACCCAAGUUCACUGGAAAGUGGCGUCAGAGAGGGUGAAAGCCCCGUCUAGUCUGGACACUGUUGCAAAACGAGGCACUGUCUGCGAGUCGAGCUGUUUGGGAAUGCAGCUGUAAGUGGGUGGUAAAUUCCAUCCAAGGCUAAAUAUUGGCAAGAGACCGAUAGCGAACAAGUACCGCGAGGGAAAGAUGAAAAGGACUUUGAAAAGAGAGUUAAAAAGUGCUUGAAAUUGCUGGGAGGGAAGCGAAUGGAAGCUGCGGGUGUGCCCCGGUUGGAUGUGGAACGGUUCAGGCUGGUCCGCCGCUCAACGCGGGGCACUGGUCAGCGUGGGCCAUCGCGGCGGGACAAGAGCGGGAUGUAGUUUCCUGCCUAUGCCGUUGUGGUGGCCGAGGAACGAAGCAUGCGCCUCUUUUGGCGUGGCAUAAUGAUGCCAACUGCAUGCUCGGGACGCUGGCGUAUUGAGCUCUUCAUCCGACCCGUCUUGAAACACGGACCAAGGAGUCUAACAUGUAUGCGAGCCGGUGGGCGGCAAACCCAUUGAGGCGCAAGUAAACUGACA
This 619-nucleotide ribosomal RNA is filed under the name Timmia megapolitana. RNAcentral describes it as "eukaryotic LSU rRNA". It matches the Rfam family "Eukaryotic large subunit ribosomal RNA", at positions 117 to 730 of the family's 3401-position model. Lineage: Eukaryota; Viridiplantae; Streptophyta; Bryopsida; Timmiales; Timmiaceae. The record is from RNAcentral.